Mycena metata is the source of this 88-nucleotide non-coding RNA. NCBI's taxonomy places the organism in Eukaryota, Fungi, Basidiomycota, Agaricomycetes, Agaricales, Mycenaceae. The record is from the annotation of a GenBank genome assembly.
GACCUGGUGGUGGAUGGUUCACACCUACCCUCUGUUUGCCAUCUGUGGAAAUAAGGCAGGAGUCCCGGUUCGAUUCCAGGCCAGGUCA